RNAcentral lists this transfer RNA (73 nucleotides) under Spiromyces aspiralis. Its description in RNAcentral is "tRNA-Thr". It matches the Rfam family "tRNA". Rfam says of the family: Transfer RNA (tRNA) molecules are approximately 80 nucleotides in length. Their secondary structure includes four short double-helical elements and three loops (D, anti-codon, and T loops). The record is from RNAcentral. Lineage: Eukaryota; Fungi; Kickxellomycota; Kickxellomycetes; Kickxellales; Kickxellaceae.
GCCUCCUUGGCUCAGAUGGCAGAGCGUCCGCCUAGUAAGCGGAAGGUCGCCAGUUCGAUUCUGGCAGGAGGCA